AUACCUUUCUCGGCCUUUUGGCUAAGAUCAAGUGUAGUAUCUGUUCUUAUCAGUUUAAUAUCUGAUAUGUGGGUCAUUGACUCACACGAUAUUAAAUUAAUUUUUUUAAGGGGGAGAAGCCAUCAAAAUAGCUUGCUAUUUGGUUUCUCAAGAGUAGCCCUUGCCUUGCACUAUAGUAUGGGCUGGCACACCCCAC
Molecule: non-coding RNA, 196 nt
Organism: Lupinus albus (white lupine)
Lineage: Eukaryota; Viridiplantae; Streptophyta; Magnoliopsida; Fabales; Fabaceae
Source: the annotation of a GenBank genome assembly